This is a long non-coding RNA of Motacilla alba alba, 2158 nucleotides long. RefSeq lists it as uncharacterized. The record is from RefSeq and is a predicted model, not a curated record. The transcript has 3 exons. NCBI's taxonomy places the organism in Eukaryota, Metazoa, Chordata, Aves, Passeriformes, Motacillidae.
CGGUGCCUCCCCGCGCACCUGCGCCGCUGCCGGGGGCGCGCGGCCCGGCUGGGGCGGGAGCGGCGCGCGGCCCGCGGCGCUGAGGGCCCCGGAGCGCCCGCGGCACGGGCGGGCUCGGAGGCGAUUCUGGCAUAAAAGCGCGCCAGCCCGGCUCUGGGCUCCCAUCGUACGUGCUGAACUCCUGGUUUCCACCCCCACUUCACUAAGAAGCUGGUGCUAAAAAACACCCAGCAAAUAUGUUUAUUUAAUAAAUGGACAGAAUACCUCCUACUUUAAUCCUUCAUUACAUGAGGUGCUGCAUAUAUCCAAAAGGAAGUACCAGGACAGGAAGAAGCACACAGCACUCAGUUCACAGAGUCAGAGUUGGCAUAUGGUUAAUGAAAUGCUUAAAAGACAAAUACAGUGCACUGAAACCUGCCGUGAGAGCAUUUCAAAGACAGUCACAAGAGACAAAGCACUGAAGCUCCACUAAUUUGCAGGGACUUGCCCAUUCCUGUGGCUGGCAGGAGCAGGGAGCCUGUGCCUGUGUGGUGUGCACAGCUGGGUCUUCGAUGUGUUCCCACCAUUUUUGGCAACAACCGAGAGGUGAUACCCAUCCAGUAUACAGGGCUCACUGUGAGAACGAGCAGGAUGUUGAUCUGUAAUCACUUUGUGUAAAUCAAGUUAAGUGCACACCUCGAAGAGGAAAUUCAGUUGCUCAUCUCUCCUAAAAAGGCACAGCAGCAAUAGAAACAGAUUUCACAGAGAUUGCAAUGAAUGGAAAUAAAAUUUUAUGGGAGAUAUGUCUAUGCUCCCAGGAGGGUUGUGAAAAAUCUGAAGUCUCUGCUUUAGUAUAAUAAUGUAGAUAGUACAGUGAUAAUGUCACAGCUCCUUGAGCCUAGUGCUCAGAGGCAACAGCUAAGACAAGUCCCCACUGAGACAAUGAAAUAGACCACAAACAAUUUGUUUCGUGUUCUCCAACCACUGUUUGGUAAUUUAUCAAUGCUCCUAAUAAUAGGAGCUUGUGAGUGCUGCUUAUAACUCCUGGUCACAUACAGAACAAAUAGUAUGGAAUAUUCUCUGGCUUUCUGAAAGCAUCUUUCUUAGUUGAGUGAAAAGAGAGACCUGCUGGCUCCCUAGAUAGAGGGGAGGGGUUUAUUUUUAUUUUUUAAAGAAGGAAACAAUUUGUUAUUAAUUUUAGUAAGAUAACUGAGCUCAAAUGUAGUUGUAAUAUCUUUAAUGAGGUAAUUAAUUGAUUAACAAUGAUCCUGAAGAAAAACAACGAAUACAUGUUUUGACAGAUAAAUUAUCUUGGUCUUUUUAAACCACAGAAGACUGGUAAAGCCUACUGAGCAUUUGUGCAGUCCACUGAUCUCAUUCUCUGCAGUGCUUGCUUUGCUUCCUACCAGAAGUCUGUCCCAAGCACUUCAUUUUAGCUCUAUAGUUGUGAGGCAUUUGUGAGUUUUCAAAAACUGUGUCACUGGCUGGAUCUUUAACCUGUCUGUUUAGUCAACAGGCAUCUGGAGUGCACAGUAAUAUGGCCCAGCAAAAUAAAACACAAAUUUGCUCUCAGAAUUAUAUAUGACCCAAUUCUUUGCUUGCAAAGAAGGUCAUAGUUCUGAGUGGCUUUCCAUUUGGAGACUUCCCAGGCACUAAGAGUUUUGAGCUAAGACUUGUUUUUGCCCCUAUUCCAACCCAACAGCACUCCCAAGUGUAGUACAUGCAAACCCUGAUAUAGCGGGUCCUACAGCUUUGCCAGCUGUGUGGCAACUGCAUCCAGUCCCUGUGCAUGUUUGGAUUUUGACCAAUAUAUUAAAUUUUGAUUUGAAGCAAGAGGGUGUUAAAAAUCAGCUUUCCAGAAGGGAAUGGAAAGAGUAGAUACUCCUUUGCUUUGAUUUCUGGUAUGAAAAGUAAACUGCAGUCAGCAGAAUAUGAAUGAGAGCUAAGCAUUCUAGAUUGGAUUUUUCUCAAGCCCAAACAGAGCUGUUUGGCUGCCAGUGAUAAGGACUACAGAGUUUCAGUGCCUCCAAAGGAGCUCUUUGCCCCCAGGGCCAUGGAUAGUUUCACCAGCUAGCCUGAACUGUGGCAUGAUGGUUUCAGUCUCUUCCAUUGAGAAAUGAUGGGCACCUUAUACUUAAGUAGUGGAUAUUUGUUGCAGUUUCUAAAACUUAAGCCAAAU